Cordylochernes scorpioides is the source of this 102-nucleotide non-coding RNA. NCBI's taxonomy places the organism in Eukaryota, Metazoa, Arthropoda, Arachnida, Pseudoscorpiones, Chernetidae. The record is from the annotation of a GenBank genome assembly.
UGUCAAGGGAUGGGAAUCGAACCCACGACCUUCCGCUUACCGGGCAGAUGCCAUGACCACUAGAUCUUCAGUCUAACGCUCACCCAACUGAGCUAUUUCGGC